AUGAUUUAUCCGGAUUUUGUUCAUCCGAAACUAAAUCACUAGUAUCAACAUCCGGUGUAAUUUUUGCUUGUAUUUUGGAGAAACUCGAUUGAUUUCUAGCAAACUUGGUUUACCACUACAUCGUCGCUUAUUAUUAUUUGUUGCUGCUUGGGACAUUAAAGUUAAGUCAGCAACCGUCUACCAGACUGCAAGAUUCAUCUCUUCCAAAGGAUGUCGUACCUUUCCAGAUACACUGUGUUUUGUGUGGAUAUGAAAUGCAGAGUGGUACCACCAAUCACCUAAGCCACCAUUCCCCUAACAGACAAUAGGCUCAAGGGGACAGUUCGUGCAAUUUACAGAAAAGCUCUCAAUUGUAGCCCUACGAACUUAAGAUACUGCCGAUGGUGAAGCUUGGAUGCACCGGGCCGGUUUUCCAGCCGUGUGGAAUCUCCAGCUGAACUGGGGCCGGGAAUUAUAUAAGACUCCUUAGCAGCAUGAGUGCCAGCCAGUCAUUGCUGUUCUUGCAUUGCUGAGGAGGACAGUCCUGCCAACAUAACAGUUUGUUCAAUAACAGGAGACAAACAGAAACACAGAGGUGCUAUACAUUCUGAUAGAAAAACAAAAGCAUCUCCCAUCAUUUUGGCGUGGCUCAGAUCAAGAGGAGAAUUUUAAGA
This is a long non-coding RNA of Mya arenaria, 653 nucleotides long. RefSeq lists it as uncharacterized. Lineage: Eukaryota; Metazoa; Mollusca; Bivalvia; Myida; Myidae. The record is from RefSeq and is a predicted model, not a curated record. The transcript has 6 exons.